GAUGAACGCUGGCGGCGUGCCUAAUACAUGCAAGUCGAGCGAACGGACGAGAAGCUUGCUUCUCUGAUGUUAGCGGCGGACGGGUGAGUAACACGUGGAUAACCUACCUAUAAGACUGGGAUAACUUCGGGAAACCGGAGCUAAUACCGGAUAAUAUUUUGAACCGCAUGGUUCAAAAGUGAAAGACGGUCUUGCUGUCACUUAUAGAUGGAUCCACGCUGCAUUAGCUAGUUGGUAAGGUAACGGCUUACCAAGGCAACGAUGCAUAGCCGACCUGAGAGGGUGAUCGGCCACACUGGAACUGAGACACGGUCCAGACUCCUACGGGAGGCAGCAGUAGGGAAUCUUCCGCAAUGGGCGAAAGCCUGACGGAGCAACGCCGCGUGAGUGAUGAAGGUCUUCGGAUCGUAAAACUCUGUUAUUAGGGAAGAACAUAUGUGUAAGUAACUGUGCACAUCUUGACGGUACCUAAUCAGAAAGCCACGGCUAACUACGUGCCAGCAGCCGCGGUAAUACGUAGGUGGCAAGCGUUAUCCGGAAUUAUUGGGCGUAAAGCGCGCGUAGGCGGUUUUUUAAGUCUGAUGUGAAAGCCCACGGCUCAACCGUGGAGGGUCAUUGGAAACUGGAAAACUUGAGUGCAGAAGAGGAAAGUGGAUUUCCAUGUGUAGCGGUGAAAUGCGCAGAGAUAUGGAGGAACACCAGUGGCGAAGGCGACUUUCUGGUCUGUAACUGACGCUGAUGUGCGAAAGCGUGGGGAUCAAACAGGAUUAGAUACCCUGGUAGUCCACGCCGUAAACGAUGAGUGCUAAGUGUUAGGGGGUUUCCGCCCCUUAGUGCUGCAGCUAACGCAUUAAGCACUCCGCCUGGGGAGUACGACCGCAAGGUUGAAACUCAAAGGAAUUGACGGGGACCCGCACAAGCGGUGGAGCAUGUGGUUUAAUUCGAAGCAACGCGAAGAACCUUACCAAAUCUUGACAUCCUUUGACAACUCUAGAGAUAGAGCCUUCCCCUUCGGGGGACAAAGUGACAGGUGGUGCAUGGUUGUCGUCAGCUCGUGUCGUGAGAUGUUGGGUUAAGUCCCGCAACGAGCGCAACCCUUAAGCUUAGUUGCCAUCAUUAAGUUGGGCACUCUAAGUUGACUGCCGGUGACAAACCGGAGGAAGGUGGGGACGACGUCAAAUCAUCAUGCCCCUUAUGAUUUGGGCUACACACGUGCUACAAUGGACAAUACAAAGGGCAGCGAAACCGCGAGGUCAAGCAAAUCCCAUAAAGUUGUUCUCAGUUCGGAUUGUAGUCUGCAACUCGACUACAUGAAGCUGGAAUCGCUAGUAAUCGUAGAUCAGCAUGCUACGGUGAAUACGUUCCCGGGUCU
This 1372-nucleotide ribosomal RNA is filed under the name uncultured bacterium. Its description in RNAcentral is "bacterial SSU rRNA". It matches the Rfam family "Bacterial small subunit ribosomal RNA", at positions 28 to 1381 of the family's 1533-position model. The record is from RNAcentral.